AUGAUACCCCCUCCCUUCGGAAAUACUUGUCAUCAAAAUGAAUAAAAGCAAAUAUAUUUAGAACUAAAUUACGCGUUCUAAAUACAUCUCCUUUUAUUUAUUUUGAUAACAAGUAUUUCCGGACGGAGGGAGUACGUA
This is a non-coding RNA of Triticum aestivum (bread wheat), 138 nucleotides long. Lineage: Eukaryota; Viridiplantae; Streptophyta; Magnoliopsida; Poales; Poaceae. The record is from Rfam.